This 678-nucleotide long non-coding RNA is filed under the name Monodelphis domestica (gray short-tailed opossum). Its description in RNAcentral is "lncRNA (ENSMODG00000039390.1)". The record is from RNAcentral. Lineage: Eukaryota; Metazoa; Chordata; Mammalia; Didelphimorphia; Didelphidae.
UACUUUUGUUCCCUGGGGUGAAAAGUGACUAAUGCAUAGGUGAGCAAAAGGUUCAAUUUUGAGGGCAGUUCCAUAGAUGGGAGAGAAAAUGAAACUAUUAGCAUGUGGUAAGGCAGACAAGGUAAGUGAGUGGAUUCAGGGAAUCUAAUUCUCUCAGACAUGUUUCCUUGAUUUUCAUGAAUCUAGUGACAUUCCCUGAUUACUCCAUUGGGCUGGAAACUACAAUCACUGGUGACUGGAGAGAAGCAACACCUGAAGAAGGCUUUGUUACCUGCUUCUGCAGCUUUGUCACCCUGGAACUUCCCUUAGUCCAUGGAGCCUCCUUAUCCUGACACACACAACUUCCCCUAUGGCCCGCCCUCUCAUCUGUAGAGAACUGCUCCACAAAUAGCUCCUGCGUCCUUGAACUGGGGUAAGAGAAAUUGGCUAGGAUUACAGGAGGAUCAAGCCCACGGGCUUACAGAACAGAUUCGCAGACAUCCUCUUGCUGGGCAGUGACAAAGUUUAUUGAUUUGGGGUGCACCAUAUAUAGGGAGAAUUACAUAGGCUAAAGGAUUAGGUAAGCCUUUUGCAGGAACUAUGAUUGGCAAUAAUUUACAAGAUGGAAACAAUGGAUGUAGAUUGCCUUGGUGGCUCUCAGCAGCAUUUUCUAUAGGAUAAUAAAUCUUAGGUAACAUG